UGAGGUCUAGGACUCAAUCCAGCAGAACCUU
Molecule: non-coding RNA, 31 nt
Filed under: Rattus norvegicus (Norway rat)
Lineage: Eukaryota; Metazoa; Chordata; Mammalia; Rodentia; Muridae
Source: RNAcentral